This 401-nucleotide ribosomal RNA is filed under the name uncultured bacterium. RNAcentral's name for it is "bacterial SSU rRNA". It matches the Rfam family "Bacterial small subunit ribosomal RNA", at positions 356 to 773 of the family's 1533-position model. The record is from RNAcentral.
GGGGAAUAUUGCGCAAUGGGGGAAACCCUGACGCAGCAACGCCGCGUGAAGGAUGAAGGUUUUCGGAUUGUAAACUUCUUUGAUUGGGGACGAAUAAUGACGGUACCCAAAAAACAAGCCACGGCUAACUACGUGCCAGCAGCCGCGGUAAUACGUAGGUGGCGAGCGUUGUCCGGAAUUACUGGGUGUAAAGGGCGUGUAGGCGGGAAUGUAAGUCAGAUGUGAAAUUCCUAGGCUUAACCUGGGCGCUGCAUCUGAAACUAUGUUUCUUGAGUGCUGGAGAGGAAAGUGGAAUUCCUAGUGUAGCGGUGAAAUGCGUAGAUAUUAGGAGGAACACCAGUGGCGAAGGCGACUUUCUGGACAGUAACUGACGCUGAGGCGCGAAAGCGUGGGGAGCAAAC